GGGCAUCAGUGAUACUUGCCACUCCCUGAUCAGCAAGUCCAAGUAGCAUGACGUCAUCAAUAGGUGGGUCAUAGUGAUGUUCUGUGUCAUGUCAGGAUGAGCAAGGUCCUUGCAGACAUGUAGACAGUGAAUGUAUACUGCUGUUCUUCACAUAUGAAGGCAACCACUAUAGAUUUUCCUUGUUGAUGGGGAUUGAGAAGAAAGCAUUUGCCAGCAAUCUGAAAGCCCUGUGCUGGGAUGGUGGUUUCCCAAAAUGGAAGCAGCCUGGAUCACCGAGUCACUGCAUGGAGGAUAGCUGCCCUAAAGACACACCCAACCCACACUGGAAUUUUCAUGAGCAAGAAAGAAAUCUUUAUUGUGUAUACUGAAAUUUAAGGGAACAGGAGGUUGAUUGCUCUUCAGACUUUAAGGGAAUGUUCCAUGCAGUCCUGUGGUUAGUCACAAAGCCUGAAGAUGAUAAACGUACUACAGCAUCGGCCAGUGUUUCCCUUCCAGGACCAGAAGUGGACGGAGCCUGAGCAAGCAGAAAAUAAUAAUACAGCUGGCAGCCUGGCAAGGGGCCAUAAUGAAACGCCUCCGAGUAGUCCUUAUUUCUGGAGCAGCCCUCCCUUCCCACCCCGCCUCACUUGCUGUGCUGGUCUGGGCACAGGGAUAGGGCCUUCCAUGUCCCUGUCCAAGGGAAGCCAGGGUAGUUUGCGAUCUUAAACACAGGGAAACACGGAAGUCAGCCUGCUCUGCCUCUGGCUCCCAAGGGGAAUUCCCAGCAGCUGUUUAAUAGAGUGCAUGCCCACCCAACAUUAUAUAAUUGUUCGAGGCGGGAUGAGAUGAGGUGAGAAAAAAUAAAAGAAUGAAUGACUCCUGUGAGAUUGCAGACAGUUGAGUAACCAGGUGGCAUGCUUCCCUUAAGGAAUGUUCUAGUGUGAUUGGGGAGUAAGUGUGAGAAGUGUUGUAGCAUCCUUGUGUUUUAGGGGAAUGAGGACUAGCCAGGGGCUUCUGCUAAGUAGGCAGUUUCCUUUGGGCUGGAGCUGGGACAAGUAUUUCCAGCUCAAAGCACCAGGGGACACUGUGGCAGAAGGAAGGGACAGAAGAG
Molecule: long non-coding RNA, 1090 nt
Filed under: Equus caballus (horse)
Lineage: Eukaryota; Metazoa; Chordata; Mammalia; Perissodactyla; Equidae
Description: lncRNA (ENSECAG00000052039.1)
Source: RNAcentral